GACUGAGCGGCGGACGGGUGAGUAACGCGUGGGUAACCUGCCUCAUACAGGGGGAUAACAGUUGGAAACGGCUGCUAAUACCGCAUAAGCGCACAGUAUCGCAUGGUACGGUGUGAAAAACUCAGGUGGUAUGAGAUGGACCCGCGUCUGAUUAGCUAGUUGGAGGGGUAACGGCCCACCAAGGCGACGAUCAGUAGCCGGCCUGAGAGGGUGAACGGCCACAUUGGGACUGAGACACGGCCCAGACUCCUACGGGAGGCAGCAGUGGGGAAUAUUGCACAAUGGGGGAAACCCUGAUGCAGCGACGCCGCGUGAAGGAAGAAGUAUCUCGGUAUGUAAACUUCUAUCAGCAGGGAAGAAAAUGACGGUACCUGACUAAGAAGCCCCGGCUAACUACGUGCCAGCAGCCGCGGUAAUACGUAGGGGGCAAGCGUUAUCCGGAUUUACUGGGUGUAAAGGGAGCGUAGACGGAAGAGCAAGUCUGAUGUGAAAGGCUGGGGCUUAACCCCAGGACUGCAUUGGAAACUGUUUUUCUUGAGUGCCGGAGAGGUAAGCGGAAUUCCUAGUGUAGCGGUGAAAUGCGUAGAUAUUAGGAGGAACACCAGUGGCGAAGGCGG
Molecule: ribosomal RNA, 617 nt
Filed under: uncultured Lachnospiraceae bacterium
Lineage: Bacteria; Bacillati; Bacillota; Clostridia; Lachnospirales; Lachnospiraceae
Description: bacterial SSU rRNA
Rfam family: Bacterial small subunit ribosomal RNA
Source: RNAcentral